GCCUGGGUGGCUCAGUGGGUUGAGCGUCUGGCUUCAGCCCAGGUCAUGAUCUUGUGGUUUGUGAGUUCAAUCCCCACAUCGGGCU
This 85-nucleotide transfer RNA is filed under the name Felis catus (domestic cat). It matches the Rfam family "tRNA". From Rfam's summary of the family: Transfer RNA (tRNA) molecules are approximately 80 nucleotides in length. The record is from Rfam by way of RNAcentral. Lineage: Eukaryota; Metazoa; Chordata; Mammalia; Carnivora; Felidae.